RNAcentral lists this long non-coding RNA (1345 nucleotides) under Equus caballus (horse). RNAcentral describes it as "lncRNA (ENSECAG00000047646.1)". Lineage: Eukaryota; Metazoa; Chordata; Mammalia; Perissodactyla; Equidae. The record is from RNAcentral.
GUGAGUCCCCUUACACAGAAGGAAGUUCUUCCCAACUGGAUCUUAACACCUCUAGUUCUUUAAACUUGCUCUUUCAAGGUCCCUGAGGCCCACCAAAAUCAUACAAACUAUUCAGCUGCAAUUUGAGCUUCUUUUAGGGUCAUUAUUAUUACAAUUUUUUAACAUCUCUUUUCGUGCUUUUAAAUGAAAGUGUCAGUGAGAUGAAUACGAAUCCCCGGAUAGAACACAGUGGGCGCACUUGCCCUCUGAGGACCUUACAGCACUUCAUAGAGAAUUUGAUUUAAUGUGCACUCAAAAGCCACCUUUGGCUUGACCUGGUUUCUGGAAUUUUCUGGGUUAUUAAAACUGUGCAGUUUUUCAUUUUCUUGGCUUUGUCUGUGACAUUCUGGGUUGACACGGCUGCGUCUGCCUCCACCACGUCUGAAAUGUUCCUGGCAUUUUCCUCGGGAGUUUGCUAACCCAACAUCUGUGCCAUGGCUUCAGAGGAGAGAAGCUGCACCCCAGAGCCAGGGCAGAGAGGAGACAGUUCCCUCUGAGGGACUCCCGGGCUUCCCACCCUGUGACAGAUCUCCUGGGUGCUGACUUCGACUGCGGUGGAGAAAGGUGUGGAAGACUUACGCCAUGAGAAUGCUUCCCCCAGUGGCCUGCAGGGACUGUAUCCACAGUUUGUCACUGUGUUUGGUGUGCAGAGGAGGAAGAAGCACCGGGCUCCAUGAAGCUGGCGCUGGGCCUGGGUGCAGGGGAUCUCUUCCGCUCCCUCGCAGACCUUCUGUGCUUCUAAGACAAUAUGGUCACGGCCACUCACUGCUUGACACCUCUUUUUUUCUCUUUUUCUGGAAAUGCAAUCCAAAGCUCUUCAGGGGAUAAAUGAUAGUAUGAGUAUAGGCAGAGUCUAACAGUGCCCAGAGACGUAGCUGGAGGACAGUGAGAACGUUGGUCUGCACCUAGACCUCCAGUUAUGAUGUAUCGGCUUAUUCACUUCAUCAGAGGCCGUGAAUCACUCUGAUUACACUGAAUACCAGGCACAAUCUGCAGAAUCUAUAGCUCCAAGCCCUCCCAGAGAGCUUUCUGCCAGCUUCCAAAGAAACAACAUUUGCGUCAAUGGUCUCCAACUGGUAUGGGGGAGGUAGGAGCCCCUGGGAAUGUGCAAGAUGUUACCUUGUGGGGGCCUAGAAGAAGAUGGUAGACAUUCUAAUUUUAUUUUAUUUUAUUUUUGCCAAGGAAGAUUUGCCCUGAGCUAACAUCCGUGCCAAUCUUCCUUUACUUUAUAUGGCCUGGGAUCUGAACUCGUGGACCAGGGCUGCUGAAGCGGAGUGCACUGAACUUAACCACUACACCACAGGAC